GUCAGGAUGAAUUAAGAGGGGGGUUAUUUUCUCCAGUCUCUUUGAGAGAGCUUUGCAGAUUAUUUUAAGGUCUACAUUUAUAAGGGAUAUUGGACGAUAGCUUGAGGGAUAUACAGGGUCUUUGCCUGGUUUUAGCAGGAGAUUAAUGUUUGCAGAAUUCAUAUUUGAUGGAAGUCUGCCCUUUUCUUUGAUUUCCAACAACGUUCUGUAGAAAACUGGUGCUAGAAUCGACCAGAAUUCUUUGUAGAAUUCUGCAGGAAAGCCGUCUGGACCUGGAGCCUUAUUAUUGUGCAUACUUAUCAGGGCUUCCUGGAGUUCACCUGGUGUCAGUGGUGAAUCCAGUGCCAUUGCUUGAGUGUCCAAUAAUUUUGGAAGAGUUAUGUUGUCCAAAAACUGAUCAAUUUCUUUUUUAGAUGGUUUAUUUGUGGUGAAUACAACGUUUUAUAGAAAUCCCUGAAAAUGUUGUUUAUUUGUAUCGGAUCAUAUAAUGUGUUCCCAGAUGAAUCUUGAACAGCACAUAUAGUUGUUUUUUCUUUAUUUAUUUUUAGCUGGUUUGCUAGAAAUUGACCGGAUUUAUUACUAUGUUCAUAAUUUUGUAGGCGUAGUCUUUGUACUAAGAAUUUUGUUUUUUUAUCAAUUAUCUCAUUUAAUUCUAGUUUUGUUUUGCGUAUUUUGUUCAAUGUUUCCUGAUCUUGGUGGGACGCGUAGGCUUCUUCUAGUGAUUUGAUGUUUUUUUCUAAUUCCUGAAUAUUUUUGUUUUCUUCUUUCUUUUUAUGUGAUGAGAAAGAAAUUAUUUUACCUCUCAUCACAGCUUUCCCUGCUUCCCAUAGAACAGAAGCUGAUGUUUCGGGAGUGUCAUUAUAGUCCAAAUAUGAAGUCCACUCUUUUUUAAAAUAUUUAAUAAAGUCUUCAUCUUUAAGUAGUGAUAUAUUAAAUCUCCAGUUUUUUCUUGGCGUAGUAUUAUUCUUGUGCAUUAGUGUUAAAGAUACAGGACCAUGAUCGCUGACAGCUAUAGGGUGAAUCUCAGUGUCUGAAAUGUCGUUCAGCAGUGAGCUGCUGACCAAAAAAUAAUCCAGACGAGAGUAAGAGUGAUGGACAUGUGAGAAAAAAGUAUAUUCCUUACUGGUGGGGUGAAGAGAGCGCCAUGCAUCGCAAAGACCAAAGUCACUCAUAUACUGUUUGAUUAUAUUUAUGGACUGCCAAUUACGCUGAGUUCCCGCUGUAUCGAGCCUAUCCAUGUCUUCAUUUAGUCCAAGGUUGAGGUCACCUCCAAGAACAAGUGUGCCAUCUAAGUGUUCAGAGA
This is a long non-coding RNA of Astatotilapia calliptera (eastern happy), 1303 nucleotides long. The record is from Ensembl. Lineage: Eukaryota; Metazoa; Chordata; Actinopteri; Cichliformes; Cichlidae.